GACGAACGCUGGCGGCGUGCUUAACACAUGCAAGUCGAACGGUAAGGCCCUUCGGGGUACACGAGUGGCGAACGGGUGAGUAACACGUGGGUGAUCUGCCCUGCACUUCGGGAUAAGCCUGGGAAACUGGGUCUAAUACCGGAUAGGACCACUGCCUGCAUGGGUGGGGGGGGAAAGCUUUUGCGGUGUGGGAUGGGCCCGCGGCCUAUCAGUUUGGUGGUGGGGUGAUGGCCUACCAAGGCGACGACGGGUAGCCGGCCUGAGAGGGUGACCGGCCACACUGGGACUGAGAUACGGCCCAGACUCCUACGGGAGGCAGCAGUGGGGAAUAUUGCACAAUGGGCGCAAGCCUGAUGCAGCGACGCCGCGUGAGGGAUGACGGCCUUCGGGUUGUAAACCUCUUUCAGCACCGACGAAGCGCAAGUGACGGUAGGUGCAGAAGAAGGACCGGCCAACUACGUGCCAGCAGCCGCAGUAA
This 478-nucleotide ribosomal RNA is filed under the name uncultured bacterium. RNAcentral describes it as "partial 16S ribosomal RNA". It matches the Rfam family "Bacterial small subunit ribosomal RNA", at positions 28 to 523 of the family's 1533-position model. The record is from RNAcentral.